This is a long non-coding RNA of Oncorhynchus keta (chum salmon), 2027 nucleotides long. RefSeq lists it as uncharacterized. Lineage: Eukaryota; Metazoa; Chordata; Actinopteri; Salmoniformes; Salmonidae. The record is from RefSeq and is a predicted model, not a curated record. The transcript is spliced from 4 exons.
AAGGGUCUUGGUGGUUCCAAAAUUCUUCCAUUUAAGAAUAAUGGAGGCCUCUGUGUUCUUGGGGACCUUCAAUGCUGCAGACAUUUCUUGAUACCCUUCCCCAGAUCUGUUCCUCGACACAAACCUGCCAAGGAGGUCUACGGACAAUUAAUUUGACCUCAUGGCUUGGUUUUUGCUCUGACAUGCACUGUCAACUGUGGGACCUUCUAUAGACAGGAGUGUGCCUUUCCAAAUCAUGUCCAAUCAAUUGAAUUUACCACCGGUGGACUCCAAGUUGUAGAAACAUCUCAAGGAUGAUCAAUGGAAACAGGAUGCACCUGAGCUCAACUUCGAGUGUCAUAGCAAAAGGUCUGAAUACUUAUAUGAAGAGGGUAUUUCUGUUUUAUGUAAAUGAGGUAUGCUUUUUAUAUUUAAUGAAUAUGCAAAAAUGUCUAAACCUGUGUUCGCUUUGUCGUUAUGAGGUAUUGUGUGUAGAUUGAGGGGGGUGGUAGCAAUUUUAGAAUAAGGCUGUAACGUAACAAAAUGCGCAUAAAGGAACGGGGUCUGAAUACUUAAUGCCCUGAAUGUGCUGUAGGUCUGACUGAGGACUUGGGAAGAGCAGAAUUAACAACCGUUUUGCACCAUCGAGACAGUUAUUUGCGUUAACCCAUGUUUUACAGUUAGUCAUUAUGUAAAUGCCGGAUGAAAAAAAUGGCACUGAGGUCACGGCCCUGUGAGUCACUGGAGCACGGAGGGAGGUCACUGGAGCACUGAGGGAGGUCACGGCCCAGUGAGUCACUGGAGCACUGAGGGAGGUCGCGGCCCAGUGAGUCACUGGAGCACGGAGGGAGGUCGCGGCCCAGUGAGUCACUGGAGCACUGAGGGAGGUCACGGCCCAGUGAGUCACUGGAGCACUGAGGGAGGUCACUGGAGCACUGAGGGAGGUCACGGCCCAGUGAGUCACUGGAGCACUGAGGGAGGUCACUGGAGCACUGAGGGAGGUCACGGCCCAGUGAGUCACUGGAGCACUGAGGGAGGUCGCGGCCCAGUGAGUCACUGGAGCACUGAGGGAGGUCGCGGCCCAGUGAGUCACUGGAGCACUGAGGGAGGUCACGGCCCAGUGAGUCACUGGAGCACUGAGGGAGGUCACUGGAGCACUGAGGGAGGUCACGGCCCAGUGAGUCACUGGAGCACUGAGGGAGGUCACUGGAGCACUGAGGGAGGUCGCGGCCCAGUGAGUCACUGGAGCACUGAGGGAGGUCACGGCCCAGUGAGUCACUGGAGCACUGAGGGAGGUCACUGGAGCACUGAGGGAGGUCACGGCCCAGUGAGUCACUGGAGCACUGAGGGAGGUCGCGGCCCAGUGAGUCACUGGAGCACUGAGGGAGGUCGCGGCCCAGUGAGUCACUGGAGCACUGAGGGAGGUCGCGGCCCAGUGAGUCACUGGAGCACUGAGGGAGGUCGCGGCCCAGUGAGUCACUGGAGCACUGAGGGAGGUCGCGGCCCAGUGAGUCACUGGAGCACUGAGGGAGGUCGCGGCCCAGUGAGUCACUGGAGCACUGAGGGAGGUCGCGGCCCAGUGAGUCACUGGAGCACUGAGGGAGGUCGCGGCCCAGUGAGUCACUGGAGCACUGAGGGAGGUCGCGGCCCAGUGAGUCACUGGAGCACUGAGGGAGGUCGCGGCCCAGUGAGUCACUGGAGCACUGAGGGAGGUCGCGGCCCAGUGAGUCACUGGAGCACUGAGGGAGGUCGCGGCCCAGUGAGUCACUGGAGCACUGAGGGAGGUCGCGGCCCAGUGAGUCACUGGAGCACUGAGGGAGAUCGCGGCCCAGUGAGUCACUGGAGCACUGAGGGAGAUCACGGCCCAGUGAGUCACUGGAGCACUGAGGAAAAUCGCGGCCCAGUGAGUCACUGGAGCACUGAGGGAGGUCGCGGCCCAGUGAGUCACUGGGGUCACGGAUGUGGAGGUGGAAACACCAAAGUCUGAGCCUUUUUGUUGUUGUUGGUGAAACACUGCCGCAAGUCCGUAGUGGAAAUACUGUGUGUGU